RNAcentral lists this ribosomal RNA (521 nucleotides) under Carabus clathratus clathratus. RNAcentral's name for it is "partial 16S ribosomal RNA". The stretch from base 395 to 521 matches the Rfam family "Bacterial large subunit ribosomal RNA", at positions 2473 to 2599 of the family's 2925-position model. Lineage: Eukaryota; Metazoa; Arthropoda; Insecta; Coleoptera; Carabidae. The record is from RNAcentral.
GUCCUUUAGUAAUUUUAUUUAAGGUCUAGUCUGCCCACUGAAUUUAUAUUUUAAAUGGCCGCAGUAUUUUGACUGUGCAAAGGUAGCAUAAUCAUUAGUUUUUUAAUUAAAAGCUUGUAUGAAAGGCUGGACGAGGUAAAAUCUGUCUCUAUUUAAAUUAUUAUAGAAUUUAACUUUUAAGUUAAAAGGCUUAAAUAUUAUUAAAAGACGAGAAGACCCUAUAGAGCUUUAUAAUUUGUUUAAUAAAAUUAAUUUAGAAUUAUUAAUGUUUUAUUUAAUAAAUUAUUUUAUUGGGGUAAUAGAAAGAUUUGAUUAAUUCUUUUUUAUUAUAAACAUUUAUUUAUGAAUAUUAAAUGAUCCAAUUUUAUUGAUUAUAAGAUUAAGUUACCUUAGGGAUAACAGCGUAAUUUUUUUAGAGAGUUCAUAUCGAUAAAAAAGUUUGCGACCUCGAUGUUGGAUUAAAGAUUAUUUUAGGUGCAGAAGCUUAAAAAUUUUGGUCUGUUCGACCAUUAAAUCUUUAC